Molecule: long non-coding RNA, 4792 nt
Filed under: Podarcis lilfordi (Lilford's wall lizard)
Lineage: Eukaryota; Metazoa; Chordata; Lepidosauria; Squamata; Lacertidae
Source: RNAcentral
GGGAGAGAUGGAGAAGAGGGGCUGCUGUGGGGCAAAGGAGUGGAACCCUUACACCUUAGAUGGCUCAGGUCUCCCCUGGAGGCAGUACCCUUCCAUGGCAGCUGGUCAUGGUUUGGUAGUCCAACCAUCAGAAUGAGGCCUUGGUAGCCGCCCACACUGUCCCUGUUUUUGACCUUUGCAAGCUAGGCAAUGCAGGCAGAAAUUCAAUAGGUGAGUGUCAUGAAACUGCCUCCACAAGGAAAGUUAUCUUUGCCGCUUUUGUCUCGAAAGUCUUUGACAGGUGACAAAUCUAUCUACACUCUUCCCCAAAGAGUCUCCCUGAAGAUCACGGAAAUCUUGUUUAUUUCCUCAAGAUGCAGUUCUGGAUGUUCUGAACUUGCUUAUUAGAAGAACCUUUCCCUAACCGCACGAAAGCUAAACAGAUUUGAGGAAAUGUAACCCAGCCAGCUGUGGGUUGCUGCUGCUUAUCCAAUAGUAAAUGAAAUAGCUUUCAAAAUACAUCUACAUCUUGAUAUUGGAAACGGCACUUUCUUGGCGAGAAGAGCUGCUCCAGGGAGGCAGUGUGACAGAAAUGUCUCUCCCAAUGUGCUUAUGUCAGCAAUUUGUCAAACUGUGUGCCAGUUCGCAAUAGUAGGCCGCAGCCUAACUAUUAGUAGACCAUAAGAAAUCAUUAAAUGUUCCUGUGAGCCUAAAGCACCUACUCGCAGAGGGGCCUUGCCUGCUGUGCUGCUCUGUGUGAUGAUGGAUGGCUCUGUUCUGUUUCUCUGCCCAUAAAUGUAAUAAAUCAGGAACUGUGUUGCACAGGGUGUGAUUGUGAUGGAGAAACAACGUUCUUGUUUUCAUUUAGCACCUCAGUGUAUAUUGCAGGGAUGGGGAAUUUGUGGCCCACCAAAUGACUCCAGCUUCCAUCAACCCCAGCCAGUGUGGACAAUGGACCACAGUUUCCCUGCUUCUCACAGAAUUCCAUAAGCAAAGGAUUGGGGUCUUUGCCCUGAGGUGCUUACAGUCCAAAUUUUGACUGGAAAAAGGAAGGCAAGAGAAAUAAGGGGGUGGGUAUUAUAAAAUGCAGCUACAUUGGUGUCAGCUGGGGAUGAGGGUUGAGGGCUUCCAUUCAGGAGAAACAUUGGGGAAGGAAAAAUGGCAUAUGUCAGGAGAGAUGUCUCUUUCCACCAGCUCCCUGUGUUCUGAAAUAUUUCUGAAAUGAAUUCUGACAACACCAGAACUGGAAGAAGUAAAAAUGUGAGACAGAGCCUGCCAUUUCAAGACAAAAUAGAAACAAUCCCAACAACUGAGCACAAUAUAUUAGAUAUUGUGGAUCUCUCUGGAUCUUCUACUGCUAGUGUUUGUCUGUAGCAAAAUACUUUAAGUUGUCACUAUGAUUUGAUGAACAACAUAUCCUUAUGGUCAAGCUAUCAAUUCCAAUAAUUGUUUUGUGAAUAUUUGGUGGCUGUUUUCUUCACUUUCCUCCUUUUUUGGGGGGGGGGGUAAGGAGGAAAAAUUCUCUUGCAAUUCCUUGUUGGUCUGUGAAAAAAAAUCAUCUGUAUUUUUCAUCUGCUGGUUUGCAAAACUUGUUGAUUUUUAUUAUUUUUUUUUUGAGGGAAGGAAGGGGAGGGGAAGCCAGCCAAGCUGAAUAUCUUACUAUAUUAUACGGAGUAUAAGCCUGGUGCCCCAGGCUGCCAAAAAUUUUGAGCUGGCACCUUUCUGAAAUAACAAACUGUUAAUAUCAGACGGUUUGCUCUCAAAGUGUCUGCACUCUAGGAGAACCGCAAACUGUUACCAUAUGUAUGCCUAUUGUCACAAAAUCCUGCCAAACAGUGCAAUCAUUGCAAACACACACACACACACACACACACACACACACACCCACACCCACACACACACACCCCUCCCUUCUUAGGCCCUGUGUAGCUGUGCUGCUUGUUUGAAGAAACACUGCUACAGGCUUUGUCCUUUGCAGUUCAAAGACUCAUAAGCCAGAUUCAGAACUUAUUACAUUUAUAUCCCACCUUUUCUCUGAGGGGCUCAAGACAGAAUACGUGAACCUGCCUCUUUUAUCCUCACAAAAACCCCGUGAGCUGGGUCAGGCAGCAAAAUGUUCCAAGGUCACCAAGUGAGGGACAUGGCUGUGUGGGAAUUUGAUCCUGGAUUUCUUCAGCACUAGUGUGAUGCUUUUUAGCAUCUUAAAAAGCAGAGACAACACCUUGCCAACAAAGGUCCGUAUAGUUAAAGCUAUGGUUUUCUCAGUAGUGAUGUAUGGAAGUGAGAGCUGGACCAUAAAGAAGGCUGAUCGCCGAAGAAUUGAUGCUUUUGAGUUAUGGUGCUGGAGGAGACUCUUGAGAGUCCCAUGGACUGCAGGAAGAUCAAACCUAUCCAUUCUGAAGGAAAUCAGCCCUGAGUGCUCACUGGAAGGACAGAUCCUGAAGCUGAGACUCCAAUACUUUGGCCACCUUAUGAGAAGAGAAGACUCCUUGGAAAAGACCCUGAUGUUGGGAAAGAUGGAGGGCACAAGGAGAAGGGGACGACAGAGGACGAGAUGGUUGGAUAGUGUUCUUGAAGCUACCAGCAUGAGUUUGACCAAACUGCGGGAGGCAGUGGAAGACAGGAGUGCCUGGCGUACUCUGGUCCAUGGGGUCAUGAAGAGUCGGACACAACUAAACGACUAAACAACAAAGUGUGAUGCUUUUAAGUGCUGUACUACGCUGGCUACCAUUCUUACAACAGGAUGUUGUGUGCACAGAAACCCUGUAUGAGCAAAAUUUCCUCAUUCAUUGCAAAGGAAGGUGACAGAUUCUUAAGAACACAAUAAGAACCUGUUGGAUCAGGCCUAUGGCUGAUCCUUUUCUCACAGUAGUCAAACAGAUGCCUGUGGGAAGCCCACAAGCAGAAUUUGAGUGCAAGAGCACUCUCCCCACCUGUGGUUUCCAUUCAGAAGAUGCCUGGAACUGUGGAGGCAAAGAACAACCCUCAUGGCUAGUGGCCAUUGAUAGCCCUCUCCUCCAGCAAUCCCUAGCAGACAAUAGGAAACCCUUAAACUGGCCAAGCCUGGUAUAAAUUCUAGGAGUAGGGUGGGCACAUGUUCUUGUGAGGAAAAAUAUGAGGGAAGAUUUAGAUGUAAAAACACUGUUCUGUUGCAUAAACUGUUUGGUGUGCAAAUAAUUAAUAAGGGAGAAAAGGCCUAGGAAUUGUCCACACUUCCUAGAAAGCAUGAGUCUGAGAGGUUUCCCCCUUGUCUAGGCAUGGUUCCGAACAGUUUUGUGUUUGACUGGCAGCUUUCUCCUGGAAAACACACAAUUUACUGCUGAAUCGGGAAAAAUAGCAAUCUGCAGAAAACGCGCUUGCUAUUUGUUUUGAUUCAGUGCUUAAAUGCAGGUUUUCCCGGCCGAAAGCAGCGGGGCAAACAGAAGUGUAGAUGAGCCCAAACUGAUUCAGGAAGGCACAAUGUAUGAGGGUUUUUGAGUUGGCAGUUUGCAAAGAAGCAGCUAGGCCGAAGCAGUUGCUAAACCGUGAGCUGUUAGGUUUUCCGUUAUGGCAGUUGACAACAGAAUGUGGCUUUUAUAAGCAUUGGUGUAAUCCUAAAGCUGUGAUAGGUCCUUUAGUGAGCAUUCCGUUUGAACUCAUUGGUCCUUAGAAAUAGUCCAAUGGGCCACAGGAUUUUCAGGGGGAACUUUGUGAUUGGUUACAGGACUCUGGCUGAAGAGAAUAAAAGGGCAGGCGCAGGCAUUGUCGGGUAACUGCAGGCAGCAGUUCCAUCAGGGCAGGACUUUUGGGAUGAAAUCCAGAGCCCCCCUCAACAGAAUGAGCAGGGUGUCCCUCCCCGAAGCGCAACAGGGCUAGCUUACCACUUUAUAAAAAAAAUAGCUAAAGUAACACACUUUACCCUCCAGAGUACUCCCCCCACAGCUGUGACAUCAUUAGGUCCAGAGUCUAAAAUUUCCUUAUCACUGAAUAUAUGGGGGUCGAAACCAGUCAGCGUUUCCGUUCUGCACACUGAUAGGCUUUCUAAAUGCUACUGGCCGCCGUGGGAUUAUAGCAGCCUCCCUCCAGGCCUGUGGGAUUUACUUGAAAUUAAAACUCAAAAGAAUGCCCCGUGCACCAUAUUUCAAACCUUGUUUCCCCAUUUCAGAAUAAUAGCGGGCAAGAGAUCGAUGGCAGUUUGCUUGAUCAAUAUUACCUCCCACGUUGCCAGCUCUCCCUCUGAGAUUUUUUAAGUGGAAGCAAGUUUGACUACCCUUCUUGUUGAAUUUAACAGGCCAGUGGUGAAACGAAACCGCAAUCAAUGUGCUGCGUGGGAAGGUAUCAAGAGGAUAUGAAUCCUGCUCAAGCAAAGCGAUAUUUGCAGAAUAAUGAAAGGGUUGAGGAUUUCUUAUCAGCUGUCACAGCUUGUUGGGAAAUGCACUUGAGUCAACAGCAAAUCACAAAUAUGAAUUAUUCUUCCUGUUACACACAAACAUAUAAACACACCUUUCAAUGAACUGCAUUAUUACGUUACAGGCAAUUCUCAACUUGGUGUCUUGCCAAGGGAAAUGUUUGAAACUUCUGUACCUGGUCUGUGGAUUAUUACCUGCAAACACCCAAUCCUUCUGGUGCAUGGUGGGGCAGGCUAUGUAACUGGAACGUUAAAGCCUCUCCCAAAGGCAGAUUCUCAACCGCUGCCUAAUAGAUCAAAAACUUAAUGUUCAGUGCAGGCUGCUUUAAAAGGAAGCCUCUGAUCAUCAAAUCAAUAUGAGAACGGGAACAUGCAUGGCAGGGGGAGGGAAGAAUUGGGUACAUGCCACACACACAGGCUUCAAGG